CUACUCACAUCAUCUAGUGGUUUGGAUUUAAAUAUGAAUAUUCUUUACGUUGAAUAUUUCAUACAUUUCUAUUGCAUUUUGUAAAGAAAAUAUCAACGAUCAGAACAAAUGUUUAACGGUUCUAAUGAAGGUCGAAGGAGACUUUAAUAACAGAACAUAAUUACACACGUUGUGCGUCCAAGAAGACGUCUUCGUGGACAUAUGAGGUCACUUCCUGUUCACUGGCUUCACGUUCUUACGUUUAACGGCGUUGAUCAGCAGCGGUUUGAUGACCGAUUGUUUCCGUGACAACAUCCUUCUGUCGUCUCGUUCAUUCUAUCACCACCUCGAUGUCCACGGCCUUCAGCUCCUGGACGAACACCACGUCGUCCCCGCGGUCCAGCUCCGCGGGCUCCUCCCACGGCUCGUCUUUGCAUGCGAGCGCGGGCGGCUCGGCGUCCUCGAAGGGCAGCUCCACGGCGCCGCUCAGGUAAGCUCCCGCUCGGCCGCUCUUGGCCGCUAUGGCGACGACCUGCGAGGCCACGGCCCAGGCGAACUCCACCCUGCGGUGCCUCUGGGAGCUCAGGUCCAGGUUGCGCUCCAGGAUCUCGUAGAGCGCCGGGACGUAGCGGUUGCAGUGGCGCUGCACGUAGCGGUGCAUCUCCAGGAGCGCCCCCCUCGUCAGCGCCCGCGGGUCCAGCUUGGCCUCGCCAUCUGGUUUGGCGCCGACGUCGAGGUCCAGUCCAAUCUGCUGGCAGACCGGAUAGCAGUGGAGCGGCUCCGCCUCCUGCUCCUCCUCCUCCUCCUCCACCUUCUCCUCCUUCACGUUCGGGACCUCCGGGUCCGACGGGGGGUCCUCGGCCCCGAGCGGCGGGGGGCCGCUCAGCUGGACGGUCGCCUCCAACCACCGGGCGAGCUUCUGCGACGCGGUCGGCCUCUUCAUCACGGCCCUCUGCUCGGCGUACCACCCCUGGAGGGCCCGCGAGGCCCCCGUGGCGCCGCCCUGCAAGUCCAGCGGGAAGUUGUGCUCCAGGAGGUCGCUGACCGUGUGGCGGGCGGAGCCGCACAGCUCCCUGACGAAGGCAAACGCCUCCAGCACGGCGCCGGUGGUGAGGGCCGCCAGGUCCAGCUUCUGGCUCGCCGGGCGCUCUUCAGUGGACCACAGGUCCAGGCCCAGCUGCUCGCAGAAGGGAUGCGGCUCCCUGUUGGGGUCCGGGGCCGGCGGCUCGACCCCCUGCCCGGCCUGAGUAUCAGCGGGCACGUCGGGCACGUCGGGCACGUUGUAGACCUCCGGGAAGCUGAAGGGGCUCUGGAGGAACUGGGCCUUGCGUCGGUCGGGGUGGUUCUGGAGGAGCCGCUCUUUCGUGAUCAUGUAAAAUAUGAAGUUGCGCUGAUGCAACUCGUUUUGGAAGAUGAGGAUGAAGUUUUUGUCCAAGAUCUCAAACAAGAAGCCGCCCAAACUCUUGGUCAUCGCAGUCGCAAACUUAUGAAGCUCCAGCAGCACGCCGUUGGUGAGCAGCUGCGGGUCCAGGUCCCGC
Gasterosteus aculeatus aculeatus (three-spined stickleback) is the source of this 1517-nucleotide long non-coding RNA. NCBI's taxonomy places the organism in Eukaryota, Metazoa, Chordata, Actinopteri, Perciformes, Gasterosteidae. The record is from Ensembl.